This 198-nucleotide ribosomal RNA is filed under the name uncultured bacterium. RNAcentral describes it as "partial 16S ribosomal RNA". It matches the Rfam family "Bacterial small subunit ribosomal RNA", at positions 1302 to 1500 of the family's 1533-position model. The record is from RNAcentral.
AGGCUGCAACUCGCCUACAUGAAGUUGGAAUCGCUAGUAAUCGCGAAUCAGAAUGUCGCGGUGAAUACGUUCCCGGGUCUUGUACACACCGCCGUCACACCACGAGAGUUUACAACACCCGAAGUCAGUGGCCUAACCGCAAGGAGGGAGCUGCCUAAGGUGGGGUAGAUGAUUGGGGUGAAGUCGUAACAAGGUACC